UAUCACAGAAUUGAUGCAGCGAGC
This 24-nucleotide microRNA is filed under the name Brugia malayi. RNAcentral's name for it is "bma-miR-2d". Its record names the gene bma-miR-2d. Lineage: Eukaryota; Metazoa; Nematoda; Chromadorea; Rhabditida; Onchocercidae. The record is from miRBase by way of RNAcentral. RNAcentral also lists the same sequence under 1 other name.